GGGCCCGCACAAGCGGCGGAGCAUGCGGAUUAAUUCGAUGCAACGCGAAGAACCUUACCUGGGUUUGACAUGGCCGCAAAACCUGCAGAGAUGUGGGGUCCUUCGGGGGCGGUCACAGGUGGUGCAUGGCUGUCGUCAGCUCGUGUCGUGAGAUGUUGGGUUAAGUCCCGCAACGAGCGCAACCCUUGUUCGAUGUUGCCAGCGGUUCGGCCGGGGACUCAUCGAAGACUGCCGGGGUCAACUCGGAGGAAGGUGGGGAUGAGGUCAAGUCAUCAUGCCCCUUAUGUCCAGGGCUUCACGCAUGCUACAAUGGCCGGUACAAAGGGCUGCGAUACCGUGAGGUGGAGCGAAUCCCAAAAAGCCGGUCUCAGUUCGGAUCGGGGUCUGCAACUCGACCCCGUGAAGUCGGAGUCGCUAGUAAUCGCAGAUCAGCAACGCUGCGGUGAAUACGUUCCCGGGCCUU
Molecule: ribosomal RNA, 463 nt
Filed under: uncultured bacterium
Lineage: Bacteria
Description: bacterial SSU rRNA
Rfam family: Bacterial small subunit ribosomal RNA
Source: RNAcentral